GUGCCAGCAGCCGCGGUAAUACGAACCGUACGAACGUUAUUCGGAAUCACUGGGCUUAAAGAGCGCGUAGGCGGCUUGGCAAGUUGGGUGUGAAAGCCCUCGGCUCAACCGAGGAAUUGCGCCCAAAACUGCUAGGCUUGAGGGAGGCAGAGGUAAGCGGAACUAAUGGUGGAGCGGUGAAAUGCGUUGAUAUCAUUAGGAACACCUGAGGCGAAAGCAGCUUACUGGGUCUCUUCUGACGCUGAGGCACGAAAGCUAGGGGAGCGAACGGGAUUAGAUACCCUCGUAGUCC
This 292-nucleotide ribosomal RNA is filed under the name uncultured prokaryote. RNAcentral describes it as "partial 16S ribosomal RNA". It matches the Rfam family "Bacterial small subunit ribosomal RNA", at positions 505 to 796 of the family's 1533-position model. The record is from RNAcentral.